ACUCCGCCUGCAGCCCAGCUGCCAGCGCCGUCUCCCGCGGCCGCCGCCGCCCGACAGCGCGCCCGGAACAUGCCAGCCUCGCGCAGCCUGCGCUGACUUCCCCGAGACGCGCCGCGGUCGGCACGGAGACUUUCUGGGCUCUGGAUGGUUCGUGCGCUGCUCACCCUCGCCCACCCCUGACGCCGCGGACCGCAGCUCCUCAGCCCCGCAGCCCCGCAGCCCAGCAGCCCCGCAGCGGCGCCGAGGACAGUGCAGCCGAGUUGCGUCUCCCUCGCGCGAGAUCGCCGGCCCCAGGCGGGCUCCCGGCGCUGAGCGGAGACGAGUUUUUCUCCCCGCAGAGGAGGAUCCUGGAAGGACGCGGAGCUGGGGCUUGGGGGAUGCAGUGGCCUGGACGAGGUGACUCCAACCCGGGGGAGCAGAGUCCGUCACGCCGGCAGGGACCGAGGGUCUCUG
This 453-nucleotide long non-coding RNA is filed under the name Homo sapiens (human). Its description in RNAcentral is "non-protein coding lnc-ZCRB1-2:1". Lineage: Eukaryota; Metazoa; Chordata; Mammalia; Primates; Hominidae. The record is from RNAcentral.